GGGGGAAGGGUAAAUGUGCACGCUUCCCAAUCAAUUUUUCAUACUUACCCACCUGUGCACUUUCUGUAGGAUUAACCUGGAUUUUAGGGGGCUUGUUUAUAUAAAUUUAGGGGUCUUUUAAUAGGGGCCCCUCUUUUUUUUGCACACGCCCUCUUGUAUAGUCUUCAGGUCCUACGUUAUUACAUACACCUUUUUUGAUGAAUGUUCUUUGAAUGAUUUUAUAAUAAACCUUUGUACAACUUUCAACAACGGAUCUCUUGGCUCUCGCAUCGAUGAAGAACGCAGCGAAAUGCGAUAAGUAAUGUGAAUUGCAGAAUUCAGUGAAUCAUCGAAUCUUUGAACGCACCUUGCGCCCUCUGGUAUUCCGGAGGGCAUGCCUGUUUGAGUGUCAUUUAAUUCUCAAACCCAUAACCAAUUUUUUGGUCAAUGGGCUAUUGGAAUGUUGGAGGUGUUGCUGGCCUUCUUUGGGUCAGCUCCUCUUAAAUACAUUAGCAAGGGACCUUUUUAGUUUUUCUUCUUUGCCCUUUUGGUAUGAUAAAACAAUUUCUGCCAUAGCAAAAAGGAAAAUAAAAAGGGGUUUUUACCUGGCUUAUAAAACAAAAUACUUUUUAUAUUGACACAUUUGACCUCAAAUCAGGUAGGACUACCCGCUGAACUUAAGCAUAUCAAUAAGCGGAGGAAAAGAACUAACAAGGAUUCCCCUAGUAACUGCGAGUGAACCGGGAAAAGCUCAAAUUUGAAAUCUGGCAGUCCUUGUGGCUGUCCGAGUUGUAACCUAGAGAAGUGCUAUCCGCGCUGGACCGUGUACAAGUCUCCUGGAACGGAGCGUCACAGAGGGUG
This 840-nucleotide ribosomal RNA is filed under the name uncultured fungus. Its description in RNAcentral is "eukaryotic LSU rRNA". The stretch from base 238 to 391 matches the Rfam family "5.8S ribosomal RNA". Lineage: Eukaryota; Fungi. The record is from RNAcentral.